Molecule: transfer RNA, 72 nt
Filed under: Camelus bactrianus (Bactrian camel)
Lineage: Eukaryota; Metazoa; Chordata; Mammalia; Artiodactyla; Camelidae
Also listed under: 1 other name
Rfam family: tRNA
About the family: Transfer RNA (tRNA) molecules are approximately 80 nucleotides in length.
Source: Rfam by way of RNAcentral
AAGGGUAUAGCUCAGUGGUACAGUGCAUGCUUAGCAUGCACAAGGUCCUGGGUUCAAUCCCCAGUAUCCCCA